This 67-nucleotide transfer RNA is filed under the name Echinostoma caproni. It matches the Rfam family "tRNA". Rfam says of the family: Transfer RNA (tRNA) molecules are approximately 80 nucleotides in length. Lineage: Eukaryota; Metazoa; Platyhelminthes; Trematoda; Plagiorchiida; Echinostomatidae. The record is from Rfam by way of RNAcentral.
GGCCUCGUAGCUCAGCUGGUAGUGCAUGGGCGGCGAUCAUGCGUGGGUUCGAAUCCCACCGAGGCUA